CGGCGAUGUCCGAAUGGGGAAACCCAGUGCAAUUCGUUGCACUAUCGUUAACUGAAUACAUAGGUUAACGAGGCGAACCGGGGGAACUGAAACAUCUAAGUACCCCGAGGAAAAGAAAUCAACCGAGAUUCCCCCAGUAGCGGCGAGCGAACGGGGAGCAGCCCAGAGUCUGAAUCAGCUUGUGUGUUAGUGGAACGGUCUGGAAAGUCCGACGGUACAGGGUGAUAGUCCCGUACACCAAAAUGCACAGGUUGUGAACUCGAAGAGUAGGGCGGGACACGUGGUAUCCUGUCUGAAUAUGGGGGGACCAUCCUCCAAGGCUAAAUACUCCUGACUGACCGAUAGUGAACCAGUACCGUGAGGGAAAGGCGAAAAGAACCCCGGCGAGGGGAGUGAAAAAGAACCUGAAACCGUGUACGUACAAGCAGUGGGAGCACCUUCGGGUGUGACUGCGUACCUUUUGUAUAAUGGGUCAGCGACUUAUAUUCUGUAGCAAGGUUAACCGUAUAGGGGAGCCGCAGGGAAACCGAGUCUUAACUGGGCGUUAAGUUGCAGGGUAUAGACCCGAAACCCGGUGAUCUAGCCAUGGGCAGGUUGAAGGUUGGGUAACACUAACUGGAGGACCGAACCGACUAAUGUUGAAAAAUUAGCGGAUGACUUGUGGCUGGGGGUGAAAGGCCAAUCAAACCGGGAGAUAGCUGGUUCUCCCCGAAAGCUAUUUAGGUAGCGCCUCGUGAAUUCAUCUUCGGGGGUAGAGCACUGUUUCGGCUAGGGGGUCAUCCCGACUUACCAACCCGAUGCAAACUACGAAUACCGAAGAAUGUUAUCACGGGAGACACACGGCGGGUGCUAACGUCCGUCGUGAAGAGGGAAACAACCCAGACCGCCAGCUAAGGUCCCAAAGUCAUGGUUAAGUGGGAAACGAUGUGGGAAGGCACAGACAGCCAGGAUGUUGGCUUAGAAGCAGCCAUCAUUUAAAGAAAGCGUAAUAGCUCACUGGUCGAGUCGGCCUGCGCGGAAGAUGUAACGGGGCUAAACCAUGCACCGAAGCUGCGGCAGCGACACUAUGUGUUGUUGGGUAGGGGAGCGUUCUGUAAGCCUGCGAAGGUGACCUGUGAGGGUUGCUGGAGGUAUCAGAAGUGCGAAUGCUGACAUAAGUAACGAUAAAGCGGGUGAAAAGCCCGCUCGCCGGAAGACCAAGGGUUCCUGUCCAACGUUAAUCGGGGCAGGGUGAGUCGACCCCUAAGGCGAGGCCGAAAGGCGUAGUCGAUGGGAAACAGGUUAAUAUUCCUGUACUUGGUGUUACUGCGAAGGGGGGACGGAGAAGGCUAUGUUAGCCGGGCGACGGUUGUCCCGGUUUAAGCAUGUAGGCUGAUUGUCCAGGCAAAUCCGGAUAAUCAAGGCUGAGGUGUGAUGACGAGGCACUACGGUGCUGAAGUAACAAAUGCCCUGCUUCCAGGAAAAGCCUCUAAGCAUCAGGUAACAUCAAAUCGUACCCCAAACCGACACAGGUGGUCAGGUAGAGAAUACCAAGGCGCUUGAGAGAACUCGGGUGAAGGAACUAGGCAAAAUGGUGCCGUAACUUCGGGAGAAGGCACGCUGGUGUGUAGGUGAAGUCCCUGCGGAUGGAGCUGAGACCAGUCGAAGAUACCAGCUGGCUGCAACUGUUUAUUAAAAACACAGCACUGUGCAAACACGAAAGUGGACGUAUACGGUGUGACGCCUGCCCGGUGCCGGAAGGUUAAUUGAUGGGGUUAUCCGUAAGGAGAAGCUCUUGAUCGAAGCCCCGGUAAACGGCGGCCGUAACUAUAACGGUCCUAAGGUAGCGAAAUUCCUUGUCGGGUAAGUUCCGACCUGCACGAAUGGCGUAAUGAUGGCCAGGCUGUCUCCACCCGAGACUCAGUGAAAUUGAACUCGCUGUGAAGAUGCAGUGUACCCGCGGCAAGACGGAAAGACCCCGUGAACCUUUACUAUAGCUUGACACUGAACAUUGAGCCUUGAUGUGUAGGAUAGGUGGGAGGCUUUGAAGCGUGGACGCCAGUCUGCGUGGAGCCAACCUUGAAAUACCACCCUUUAAUGUUUGAUGUUCUAACGUUGGCCCCUUACCGGGGUUGCGGACAGUGUCUGGUGGGUAGUUUGACUGGGGCGGUCUCCUCCCAAAGCGUAACGGAGGAGCACGAAGGUUAGCUAAUCCUGGUCGGACAUCAGGAGGUUAGUGCAAUGGCAUAAGCUAGCUUGACUGCGAGCGUGACGGCGCGAGCAGGUGCGAAAGCAGGUCAUAGUGAUCCGGUGGUUCUGAAUGGAAGGGCCAUCGCUCAACGGAUAAAAGGUACUCCGGGGAUAACAGGCUGAUACCGCCCAAGAGUUCAUAUCGACGGCGGUGUUUGGCACCUCGAUGUCGGCUCAUCACAUCCUGGGGCUGAAGUAGGUCCCAAGGGUAUGGCUGUUCGCCAUUUAAAGUGGUACGCGAGCUGGGUUUAGAACGUCGUGAGACAGUUCGGUCCCUAUCUGCCGUGGGCGCUGGAGAAUUGAGGGGGGCUGCUCCUAGUACGAGAGGACCGGAGUGGACGCAUCACUGGUGUUCGGGUUGUCAUGCCAAUGGCACUGCCCGGUAGCUAAAUGCGGAAGAGAUAAGUGCUGAAAGCAUCUAAGCACGAAACUUGCCCCGAGAUGAGUUCUCCCUGAGACUUUAAGUCUCCUGAAGGAACGUU
Molecule: ribosomal RNA, 2711 nt
Filed under: Klebsiella pneumoniae
Lineage: Bacteria; Pseudomonadati; Pseudomonadota; Gammaproteobacteria; Enterobacterales; Enterobacteriaceae
Description: bacterial LSU rRNA
Rfam family: Bacterial large subunit ribosomal RNA
Source: RNAcentral